This 72-nucleotide transfer RNA is filed under the name Chitinophagaceae bacterium. Its description in RNAcentral is "tRNA-Ile". It matches the Rfam family "tRNA". Rfam says of the family: Transfer RNA (tRNA) molecules are approximately 80 nucleotides in length. Their secondary structure includes four short double-helical elements and three loops (D, anti-codon, and T loops). Lineage: Bacteria; Pseudomonadati; Bacteroidota; Chitinophagia; Chitinophagales; Chitinophagaceae. The record is from RNAcentral.
UGUGGCUUAGCUCAAUGGUGGAGUUUUACGCUGAUACCGUAAAGGAUGAUGGUUCGAAUCCAUCAGUCACAA